RNAcentral lists this long non-coding RNA (3171 nucleotides) under Homo sapiens (human). Its description in RNAcentral is "HSALNT0071770". The record is from RNAcentral. Lineage: Eukaryota; Metazoa; Chordata; Mammalia; Primates; Hominidae.
AGAGAAUUCUCUGUGGGGGAGGAGAUACUAUCUAGAUUAGGUGGUAACACUGAGGUGAAGGGACUCUCCAGGCAGAGGAGGGAAUACACAUAAAUAGAAUGUGGUGGUUUUUUACUAUAAGAUUUUAGCCAAGCAGGCACGGAAUUUUCUAGAACUACUUUCCCUGUAUAAUUAGGAUUUGGCACAAAGAGCUUUAAGUGAGAUUUGGAAGGUACAAGAGGAACAGCAGUCAUUACAGAAGAUUAGUACAAGCCUCCAUGCAUGGCCAACCCUUGGCACAUUUGCUGCUGAUUCACGGGCUUCUCUCACUGGUGUGCAUAGACCCACAGCUCCUCUGCCUGCUGUCAGAUCGCUUCCUUCAGCUUUUCCAAGUCCUGAGUCAGACACGUGUGCAACUCUGGGGUGAAAGACACCAGCUUCUUCUGCAGAUUACCUGUAUCAUUUGGGUUUGAAGCAUAUUCUGAUGUGUCUUUGUGAAUACCAGUUUAUUCUCAAGGAUUUUAGGUUGUCUUUUCUUUUCUUUUUUUUUUUUUUCUAUUUCGUUUAGAGCUUUUCUUCCUGAUGGCUUAUCUACCGAUCAAAGCAACUUCUACCUCACCAGCAGAUACAGAGGCAACUUCUUCCAUAGAUUUCUUCACCAGUUUUCCUUAGCUGUCUCCUUGGAACAUUUGAAAUCCUCUGGUUCUUUGGCACCCAAAUAUGAAGGUCAUUUCAUCAAAGGCCUAAAAUUUUCAUAGAGAGGAUUUGAGAAAGGUGAUCUCAAUAAAAUACAAAAAAAAAAAGGAAGAAAAGCUACAGUAAAAGAAAUAUUGCUACUUAUAUAUGCAAACGAAGACUGAGGACAACUAUUAUCAGCUUUCUACUCUUAAGAAUUAUUUAAGUUGCUACUCCUACUUCUACAUUUGGACAUUGGUUUACCAUGCCAUUUUUCCUUAUAUAUAUUUAAAAAAUCUCUUAAAAAUUAAAAUGGUAGUAUGCAUGUUUUCAGGCCAAAUAUAUAUUUCCAAACUGUUCUAAAUUUGUUACUACUGUGUUUUUACUCCUGAGUAAUCAAUAACAUUGAGUAAUAAAGACAGAAUUAUUUAUGUAUAAAUAAAAAUUCUCAUGAGAAUUUUUGUCUAUUUUUCCUUUUCUGAGUUGAAAAGCAGCCAUUUUCAACAUAGCUAAUUGUUGCUACAGUAUCAUUUUAAAUUAAUGUGGUACAGUGUAUGCUGAAAUAGCAGUGGAAAAAUAUUUAAGUUUUAACAAUGCUCUACUCAGGUAAAUAUCCCUGCAGGAAUCAAAAUUAAUAAAUAUUAUCUUCAGUAUACAUAAUACAAUAUAAUAUCUUUAAUAGGAGUUGCCAUUUUACUGAAUAUCUUCCAUUUGAUGUUUGUGAAAAGUUUGUUCAUUGACAUAGCUCAAUAAUAUUCCAUUUUACAAAUAUACCACAAUUAAUUAACCUAUCCUUCUGUAGAUAGACAUAUGGGUUUCUUUCCUUAUUAUACAUCAUAUUAAACUUUUAUAUUAUGAACAGUUCAUUGAAUCUAUUGAUCCAUUUGUGGAGAAUUUAUAUCUUUAUGAUAUUGAUUUUUCUUCCUAGAGGUAUAAUAUGCCUUUCCAUUUAUUUGAAUCAUUUUUAAUGUUUUAAAAUUUAGAUACAUUUAAUUAAUGUGUGUGUAUCUGUAUGUAAGCUUACUGCAAUGCUAAACAGGUAAAUAUUCAGAACACUCUGUAAAAAAAAAAAAAAGUUGAACUUCCACCUUAAUUACUGACUUUUUUUUAAUUAAUUGUAAGCAGAAAUGGGAUACUGUUUUCUCUGCCACAUUUCUGUCACCUGUGGUCAUAAUCCCUCGAGCUGUAUAAGGGAAGUUGUCUGUUCAAAUCAUGCAGUGUUCUUAUGUCACAAACCAAAACCUGAGUCUAUUAUGCUGAGCUAAUCUGCUUUGACCUGGGUAAUUUCCAUCCUGGGUUGAUCUGAUCUGCCAGGAGGUUUGGCCGUCAGAUUUUGGUGACUUCUGCUCCUCAGAGAAUUCUCAGAAUCCCAAAUUGCACCCCAUCUCACUAAGAGUGUGGAGAGGAAAAGACAGAAGGAUAGAAAAAGAGAAGGAGGAGGAAAAGGAAGUAUCUAUCUACAUGUUUAUAUCUAUACCUUUAUUUAUACUCACAGUAAAGGACAUUUGUCAGAAUAGCCCCCAAACACUAUUGCCGCACCAACAUCUAUUAAAAUAUAAACCAUCUUUAAUAAAUACUGAGCUGUGUAAAUAUUUAUUUGCAUGCAAAAGAAAAGCUCUUUAGUAUUCUUAAGCCAGACUGAGCAGUCAACAGAUGAUUUUGAUAAAUGUCUGUUCAUUACCUGAACAUUUCCAUUGCAAUAUAAAACAAAGAUUUCAUCUACAUUUUAUUUUUGCUCCAUGAAUGGUUCCACACUUUCUAAUCAGUGUUAUUUUUAAGAUUAAAUUUGGAUAGUAAUGUAAAUAUGGGAGGGGAAUGGGUGUCUAAGAGGAUUUUCUGGUUCAUAGUCAUUAUAAUAGUCACAAUAUACAAGAUAAUUUGUAAGUCUAGGCCCCCUUUUGCUCAGGCAGUCUAAUUCUUUAUGUCCAAGAAUUUUGUCAAAGUAAUGUUCUUCAUGCUAAUAAAUAUAAUAAAAACAUACCCUUUUCUGGUAGUUGUCUUCUUUUAAUAUUAAUAUGUCAUUUUUCUUCAUGAUUCUAAAAACAAAUAUGAACUGCUUUGUAAAUAUUGGUCAAUGAAUACUUCAUGACACUCCCUUUUGAAAGGUGUAUGACUUGACAGCCGCUAUUUAGACAUUUCAUUUAUGUCAUGGGUUUUGUUUUCUAUUUUUGCUGUUGCUGUUGUUUUAAAUCAGGGCUUGAUAUUGAUGGGGCAAGAUUAGGAAGUAAAGAACCACAUAGUUCUCUCUCCUUCAUCUCUUCCUGUGUUAAUAAAUGGUUCCAUGAUCUAAUAAAAGAGCAAACACAGGAAACAAUAAGGGGAAUCAAAAAGUGAAAAUAAAACAAACAAAUCUAGAAACAAGCAAACUUUAUCUUGAGUUUUGUGGACUUCCUGCAGAGAUUUCUCAAUUCCUGUUUCUACUCCAAAUGCAUUCAUGUGACUAGCAUGCUCAGUGAAUUGGGCAUCUUUUGCUCUUUAAAAUUACUUAUUUAAGAAAAAUUUAUGUAUACUCUGAUC